GACGAGGUGGAAGUGGUUAAGGCGAUGGACUGUUAAUCCAUUGUGCUUUGUACGCGGCGGUUCGAUCCCAUCCUCGUCG
Molecule: transfer RNA, 79 nt
Filed under: Perca fluviatilis (European perch)
Lineage: Eukaryota; Metazoa; Chordata; Actinopteri; Perciformes; Percidae
Description: tRNA-Asn
Rfam family: tRNA
About the family: Transfer RNA (tRNA) molecules are approximately 80 nucleotides in length. Their secondary structure includes four short double-helical elements and three loops (D, anti-codon, and T loops). Further hydrogen bonds mediate the characteristic L-shaped molecular structure. tRNAs have two regions of fundamental functional importance: the anti-codon, which is responsible for specific mRNA codon recognition, and the 3' end, to which the tRNAs corresponding amino acid is attached (by aminoacyl-tRNA synthetases). tRNAs cope with the degeneracy of the genetic code in two manners: having more than one tRNA (with a specific anti-codon) for a particular amino acid; and 'wobble' base-pairing, i.e. permitting non-standard base-pairing at the 3rd anti-codon position.
Source: RNAcentral